This 344-nucleotide ribosomal RNA is filed under the name Bacteroides fragilis. RNAcentral's name for it is "bacterial SSU rRNA". It matches the Rfam family "Bacterial small subunit ribosomal RNA", at positions 99 to 443 of the family's 1533-position model. The record is from RNAcentral. Lineage: Bacteria; Pseudomonadati; Bacteroidota; Bacteroidia; Bacteroidales; Bacteroidaceae.
UUCACGGGUGAGUAACACGUAUCCAACCUGCCCUUUACUCGGGGAUAGCCUUUCGAAAGAAAGAUUAAUACCCGAUAGCAUAAUGAUUCCGCAUGGUUUCAUUAUUAAAGGAUUCCGGUAAAGGAUGGGGAUGCGUUCCAUUAGGUUGUUGGUGAGGUAACGGCUCACCAAGCCUUCGAUGGAUAGGGGUUCUGAGAGGAAGGUCCCCCACAUUGGAACUGAGACACGGUCCAAACUCCUACGGGAGGCAGCAGUGAGGAAUAUUGGUCAAUGGGCGUUAGCCUGAACCAGCCAAGUAGCGUGAAGGAUGAAGGCUCUAUGGGUCGUAAACUUCUUUUAUAUAA